AUUCUAAAAUUAUAAAAAUUACUACUUUAAAAAAAAAUCAUGGGACGGGUAAAAAAAUUACAGAACAUGUUUUUUUUUUGGAAUUGGGUUAUAUGGUGGAUGUAUUUGAAUCAAUAUUUAUAAAAUUUUAAAAUAUUAUUAAUAUGCUGUUUUAAUAGGGGUCAAAACUUCAGUUUUUUUAACAAUUGUCUCAUGAAUUCGUGGUAUAACGUUACUUAAUAACAAUUAUAAACUGUAAAAUAUAAAUAUUUUGUAAAAAUAAAAUUUGCAAGUUUUAGUAUAUAUUACUUUUAAAAAUAAAUCGUCAUGCGGUAUACCGCGGGUUAAAAUCUAGUUUUCUUUUAAGAGGAUACUAAUAUAACAAUUAUUGUAAGACAAUAACCACAAUGGUU
This 392-nucleotide small RNA is filed under the name Arabidopsis thaliana (thale cress). RNAcentral's name for it is "ATSL289370". The record is from RNAcentral. Lineage: Eukaryota; Viridiplantae; Streptophyta; Magnoliopsida; Brassicales; Brassicaceae.